This is a regulatory RNA element of Marvinbryantia formatexigens DSM 14469, 92 nucleotides long. It matches the Rfam family "S10-Clostridia ribosomal protein leader". NCBI's taxonomy places the organism in Bacteria, Bacillati, Bacillota, Clostridia, Lachnospirales, Lachnospiraceae. The record is from Rfam.
UGAUAGCGUUGAAGCGUGAGGUUGCUGCGGGAAAAGGAAAAACCGCAGGUUUUCCGUGGAGCGAAUGUCAAGUUCUGAGAAACUGGCGACAA